Molecule: long non-coding RNA, 6253 nt
Organism: Gallus gallus (chicken)
Lineage: Eukaryota; Metazoa; Chordata; Aves; Galliformes; Phasianidae
Exons: 3
Source: RefSeq, a predicted model, not a curated record
GGGCCCGUGUCCAUGUGUUGCUUCCGCGCCGCGUGGCUCGGAGACCUGGAAAUGUGGGAACGUUCGAGCUGCUGGACAGAGCCCAACCCAAGCAGAUCAGCUGUGCUGUCUUUUGCUCUCUCAAAUAAAUGCAGUUAGUUUGCUGUUGGAUUUUGUUUUAUGUCCUUCCAGCACUGGGGAAUUAUCCUGUGGUUGAAGACAUUCCCCUUCACCCGGAGCUGAAACCUGCUGUCAUAACAGAGGGAAAGCUAUUUUCACCACUGUCAGAAGAAGCAUCCGGCAUCUGAGAUAACAGCUUUUGAAAGAGCACAGAAACUGUUAUCAGUUUUGUCUUUUUAACACAGGCAGUUUAAAUAACUUUCACCCUCAGUUCAGGGACGCUCGCUGGGGAUUGCUGUUGCCAAGGAUGGCUUAAGGCCUUCAGGUGGACAGAGAAGACACGGUGUGCAAACAGAAAAAGUUGAGCCAGCAUUUUCCAGCUGAAUGUGAUAAAAAUAAAACAGAGGCAGCAAAAUGCAAAAAAUCCUCACUGAAGGCAAAAAACAACCCGGCCUCAUUCAACAGCAAACAGCACAACUAAACAUUCAAGGUACAAGAAGGGAUGCUACAGAGUUUAACAAAAGCCGAUGUGAUAAAUUGCUUACUUAUAAAUUACUUAUUGCUCGUAAAUAUAUUUUGUAAAGUAUUUACCAGUUAUAGUUCACAUAACUAAAUGUCUCUAAAAUUGUGAGCUGAGUGUUGGCAGUGAUACUCAGAUUAUUACUAAAUAUUACCACUGUGUGGUUUUCAUCAUAUUAUUACCAAAAAUAUAUUUAUUUGUAUUGCUUUAUGAACUACUUAGGCUAAAAGAGAUCUGCUCUAAUUACACUGUGAAUGUGUCAACAGUAUCUCACCUGGGGAAUAUGAAGGGUCUGCACCCUGCCUCCGCUGAUGGCAGUGGGCAUGGAACAGACUUCCCAGGGCAGUGGGCAUAGCCCUGACCUGAUGGAGUUGAAGGAGUGUUUGGACAAUGCUCUCAGACAUAGAGUUUGAUUUUUGGGUGGUCUUUGUGGAGCCAGGAGUUGGACUUGGCAAUCUUUGUGGGUCCCUCCCGACUCAGGACAUUCUGUGAUUCUAUGAAGUUCAUAAAAGAUUCCAAUCUGACACUACAGCCUUUACAUGUGGAGAAGCCUACUGUUCUUACAGCCUGGUCGAUGUUCUGCCUGUAUUUUUCCUUUUUACCCUUGAAGAUUCUCAGAAGACCUCGGAAAUGCCUACACAACUGUUGCUUCCCGCACUGAAAGGAGCUGGCCUUGUUUUACCUGAGCAUGGUCACUGCCAUGCCCCAGUCACAAUGCUCAAAAACACAGCUGCCCCAGGUAUUAGAAAGAGGACCCUACAGGUGUACAAGGUGUAGGAGAAUCAGCUUGGCAACUUCCAAAGCCCUUGAAUUCACAGGGCGUAAGUAUUUCAAGCACUCAACCUGGGUAUGUUACAUUGCACAGUAAUUUGUUGCAGAGCUGCCCAGGUACAUGUUAAAUGGUUCUCAAUGAGCACCAUUCUGAAAACAUUUGGUCUUGUUCUCCGUGUCGUGAUUAUUGACCUCACACAGAUACCUUCCUUCUUUCAGUAUACGUUUCAUUGUUUCUCCUCCGUAUAUCUUCUUUCACCUCUAAAUCAUUUCUCUAAAAACUGCAUUUAAAUGUGAUUACUCCCUAUUUGCGCAAGAAUAUUGCCCCUUAAACUCCACAUUAUAUUUGUGCAAGGAGAAUUCACUGUUGGAUUCCCUCACUCCUUUUUCUUGAGCAAUGAAAGGAAUGAGCCCCCACAAAGUCUCCGAAUGAACACAGCAGUCAUUAAGACAGUGAGUGUAAUGCAGCUUCUCCAACAAAAACACUGGAGGAGGUUAAAAAAAAAAAGUAGGUGGGUAUUUGCCAUUACAAAAGGCUUAUCGAAUAGAGCUAGCAAUGAAUGUGGGGUGGUAUCCCGCGUAUGUCUUUGUACACCUAAACUUCAAGUCUGUGGGAAUUUCCAAAGUGCAAAAGGCACGGCAUCGAAGUCAGAAUUAUUUGUAAACAUGGGAUAGAUGAGAUUUAUAUAACAGGCUACUGCAAAUUUAUGGAUCCGGGAAAGGAAAUAAUUACAAAGGAAAUUGAAGUUAAAAAUAGUCAUGAACCGCUAAAAAGCCUCUGCUUUCACCUCUUUCUCUGGCAACAGGGUGUUCCACCCACUUGCUGUGUGCCAGUUCGUUCUUCCAGAUAACCAGUAGGGCCAGUAAUGGGAGCUCCAGUCUGAAAAAGAAACUUUACUUGGUGAAUGCUUGUCAUUAUAUAUGUUCAAAAUAGGUUUUAGAUUACUUAGACAAAAAGCUUAUACAAUUUGCCUGUAAAUGUAGCACAAAAAGCCUUCUAAUAGCGUGUUUUGGUACAAUGCACUUCCUUUGAGAGCAGAAAUAACUAAAAAUAAGAGAAAUUCAGAAAAGGACAACUAAAGCUAACCUACAAUCUGAUGAAAUUCGUUUCCAUAGAAGGUAAUCAGCAAGACACAGCUGCACUGCCCACUGUACUCUAGGCAACUUUUUAGACAGCCCUUUCUCUCUUAUGUAACAGAUUCCUCUCUUUCCUCCUUUCUUUGCAUUCUUUGCAUUUGGCCCCUUCAUAGCAAGGGCUGAUUGCUAUGCUUCCUUCUGCGCUGCUGGGAGUCAGGUCUCCUCAGCAUCUGCAGCUGGAGUUCUGUGGACAGCAAGCCAGGUGCUUUUCUGCUAGAAGAGGUUUGGGACUUGAGCUCUGCCUUCUUUUGGGUAUAUUGGUUGUGGUGUGCCUCUGGGAUCUGAAAACGGAACAAUCAAUAAUCUCUAUUCUAGAGCACAUUUGAGACCCAGCCAUAAUUUGCCUCUGAUGCAUCUUCUACUUUGUAGAACACUUUUUAUGUUCAAAGUAGGAACGUGUGGAUAAUAAUGUGACAUUGUAGAGCUGUGAUAUAUGAACACUGAAGGAAAUAACUGCGUACACUUACCUAUCAGACAUUUAUUCGUAGGGUUACAGACACCCAAUAAAACACAGUCUAUAUCAGUAAUACAGAUAGACAAACAAAACGAGGAGAAAGGCUGAAGAUGUAACCCCACUGCUCUGGAUACUGAUGUCACCCAUGGUGCACGUGGUGAUGCUCACAGACACAGCAGGGGGCAGGGAGGAGGCACAGGAUCUGUGCGGGAUCCCGUGCACACCCAAAGCUGGGCACAGGUUUUUGAUGUGUUCAGAAGAUAGAGCGCAGGAAAACACAGGAAGUCUCAGGGACCAUAGUAACAGCAAUGACUUCCUCAAUAGCAGCCAUAUCCUUAAUAGUAAGGAAGCUGUAAUCCAUACCAAGAAAGGAAGCUGAAGCACCAUUAGGCUUCCUGAGUGCACAUCUAGUGAGUGAUGUGGAAGAAAGCUGAGGAAGAAGGACUUCAAAAUGACCCGUGAAGGAUAUUGUGGAAAUGUGUACAAGGUGCAGCAUAAGGACACUCACUUGCCAAGACAAAAUGAUAGGAUGUGGUAGGACUACUAGCUUUUUACAUGUUUUCACCUGUCUUAUGCAUACAAGAUUUCUAAUCUUGUCUGAAAACAGUUCUGGUAGAAUUUUAACAACUUGCAGGUAAAGGCUUCUGACUUCUGCAGGCUAAUUUCUGGACUUGCUGAAAUCAGUGUUCAUUUGUAUAGGGCUUGACGCCUGUUUCCUCACAGAAUAAUCUUCAUGAGAGAGGCCUGAAUGGGAUGCAUGAGAUUUUUUCUGUAAAUUUUACUAAACGGCACCUGUCACAAAAAUACAAAUUUUCUUAUCUGUGUCUAAAUAAAUGAUUUGUGUCUAAAUAAAUAACUACAUCAUUUAGUGUAGGGGAAUAUGACAGCGUAUUCUUUAAGUAAGGUAAAUAUUUUGGUACAGAUCUCAAUUAGGGAUUUACUGAAUAAUAACUCAGUCCUUCUCUGUGUGUCCUAUAUCCAAGUCAGAUCACAGAUCUGAUGUGAACUCUUUGCACAGAGUGGAGGAUUUCUUCCAGCUCAGAGGGAAUCUGUUUCAAAAUCAGUUUUUCGGUACAACAGGACAUAAGCAACUUCCAUUAAAGGACAGACAGCCUUCACUGAAGCUACUUAGAGGAAGCUGCUCUGCAAGAAAAAGAAGAUCCUGUGAGCACUCAAGGUCAAGUACGAAAUAAAUUAAUUCUGUAAUUGCUAACAAGCAACUUCCAGCUCUGGCAAAUUAUAUACCUAAUAAAAAUGAUUAAUUUGUGUUUGUUUUUGGAAGGACUGCCUGUGAUUUUGUCCUCAGAUGAAAAGAACUAAAGCACUUAAGAUUUUACCACUAAGCUAAAGCAAGGGUGUUUCUGGGCCACUAACUGCUGACUUUUGACUCAUACUCUAGAAAGCUUCUGCAGAUAUUUUGGAUGAAGGAAUAGGAUGUUUAUUUUCAUAUACUUAUGCCUAAACUCAGUGUUUGUUUUGAAUGCAGUUGGAAUGAACUCUUAUAGUAAACACUGAUGUCAUUUAGAGAAUGCGUAAACCAAGCAGUACUUCCAUUUGUAGGCUCACUGCUCUAUUCUCUUCAAAGCGCUCAAUGAGGCACAACUGGAGACAGAAGGCAGUUCCAUGAAGCACAGCUCCUGCUUUUUCCCUGCUGUUCUUGGUCCAGCAACUGAUGACAACGAAUCAGCUUCUAGCUCCUUGACUGCAGACGUGCGAUCCUCCUUACCCUGCUGGCAGGAGACUUUUGCAACCCCCUGAUGCUUUUGGGAGUUUCAAGGUCCUGUCAGCUGGAGCAGUGAAUGCCCGCAUCCCCUGGAAACUGCAGUAGUAUCCUGCUGCCUUAUAAAGGUUGAUAAUUGGAGAUGUAACAUCAUACACUGCAAAGAAUUAAGCAUGAAUGAUUCUAGAUCAUGAAAAAAAUCUGGGCAAGCUUGAAAAGCUCUUCCCCAGGGACAACAUUCCAGCUGGGGCUGAUGGUGCUGUGUGUGUGCACAUAAUGCCAUCCAUCAUGAGCUGCCUGUUUUCCCAACAGUGUGAGUGGGACUCUGGUACAACCCAGAGAGGACGUAGAGGAUGUGGUGAAAGAAACCCCUGACCUUGCUCCCUUCUAUGAAUUUUGAGUCUAGAUAAGACAAUCAUCUUGUUAUACUACUUCUUAGGAGUCUAAUCAUAUUACAGGACAUUGUAUUUCACCUGUUAGCUUCAAGACACCUUGUGAAUGGCUGAACGUGUCAGGAAAAGCUCUCUUGUGCUUCAGAUGUGAAUCAUUGACUGGAUUGUAAAAGGCAAAGGCAAUCAAUCAACUCCAAUCUGAGAGUUGUUGUUCAUGUGGGUAACGUAUCUUGAAGCUUUAAUCAUCUGCGUACCCUUUCGGAAGUAAUUUCUACAAAUAAAUUCCAAAUGUCAGAUAUAUUUCAUCAUUUAGCUUCAGCAUAUGGAAGUAAAAGUUGAAAGAAGCAAUUCACGGUCAUUUCUUACUGGGAAGAAAAUGAAGGGAAAAAUCCUUGCAGAAGAAAGAGAAGAAAAAGGAAGCCGCAGGAAAGUAUUGCGAGCUGAUUUGUGGACACUCCCCCAAAAGGUCAUGGGAGGUAAUGGAAGGAAUGAAACUGGUGAUGGAAAUCAGCAACACAGACAAACAUCCAAAAAAAUACAAUCUUCAAGGGAGCAGCAGGCAAUCAGGCAGGGGUUCUGUGAGAAUCCACAAACCUCAUGUCAGUGCUAAAAUAGGACAGCCAUCAGCUCUGCUCCACAUCACGCCCACGUGCAAAAGAGCCCAGCACCCAGAGCUCCAUCACAACCAGCUGCAGUUUGAGCACACACAGCCUCAGGCUUUGGCAAAAGCGCGUGAAGACCAGGUUUAUUUGGGCAGGGCUGGAUGAUGCUGGCAGAGAAGCAUCCACCCUUCGGUGUGAAAGUGGAAGGAGCUGAACUUUGAACUCUGAGAUAAGCAAAUCUGAACAUGAAAUAAGACAGUGGCAUGUUGGACUUAAGCUGGCCUUUAUAUAAAAACAGUGCACAGAAUGCCUUCUGUUCUUGAUUUUAUGUUCCACAAGUAGACUCUAAGACUCUGCUUUUCCUCCCCACCACUGGAGCUGUAUUAAGGCCCAGCAAUUCGGCAAUCCUGGCUCUUCUGAUCCUGGUAAUUUUAAAUGGUGUUGUGACCCUAAGAACAAAAGCAGUUUCCCUCUCCACUGUAUUUUGGUUGUUCUGGGACACGUUCUGUCCUGUAAUCAAUAGAGUUUAAAAAUAAAUUUACGUUGUGCUUUUCAAAC